Molecule: non-coding RNA, 206 nt
Organism: Aedes aegypti (yellow fever mosquito)
Lineage: Eukaryota; Metazoa; Arthropoda; Insecta; Diptera; Culicidae
Source: Rfam
AAGACUGUGCUUCACAGGAUCAUUUCUGUAGGCAAGUUUUCACCACAAGUUUUACCGAAAGGAAAAGCUUUCCCACCCACGAUGAGGAGAUGUAGUGUCCUGUCUGGAGCGUGAAACUUGGUCGGGUUUGGUUGAUCUGAUACAGAUAAAUCGCCCUUCCUCUGAAGAUCGGCUCUCUUGCAAGACUCGGACGCAUUCUGAGUGGU